UGUGUAGGCGGCGGGUUAAGUUGAAUGUGAAAUCCCUGAGCUCAACUCAGGAAUUGCAUUCAAAACUGGCUCGCUUGAGUGACUGAGAGGUAGAUGGAAUUCCCGGUGUAACAGUGAAAUGUGUAGAUAUCGGGAGGAACACCAGUGGCGAAAGCGAUCUACUGGCAGUCCACUGACGCUGAAACACGAGAGCAAGGGGAGCAAACA
Molecule: ribosomal RNA, 207 nt
Filed under: uncultured bacterium
Lineage: Bacteria
Description: partial 16S ribosomal RNA
Rfam family: Bacterial small subunit ribosomal RNA
Source: RNAcentral